GCGAGAGGCUAGAGCGGCCUCUACGUUCAGGGCUGGGCCCAUUUGUUAAUGGGAACAAUUGUGGUGACCGCGGUCGGGCGGGCGUGGGAAACCUGAGUCGGCCACUCAGUGCUUGAUCCGGGUUCGUGGGUGACCCUUAGAGUGACGGCAGAUUCGAGGCCUCGUCUUCACUAUGGAUGCUGUGGCUCCUUCAUGCUCAGACCUGGUCCUGAGGCCCAGAUGCUCUCAUGCCUGCUUGACCUCUGCAGGACCUGCCUUCUUUGUCUCCAGCAAAGGUGUCUGGUGCUGGUCUACAGGCUUGUGGCUCUGUCAACAGCCACCGGGAAAAGCCACACAACUCCAGGCUUGAUAAAGCCAGAUCUUCCAGGUGGAAGGAAGAGGACCUAAAUCUCAGACCAGGAAUGCCUCCUCUUGUGGCUGGAUAAAGUCCAAAUCUCCAUAAUGCGGCCCUUCUGUGUUUAUGUGACCGUGAAUUCUUGCUAUCUUUGAAUUCUCAGUAAGCAUCCACUUUCUAGAUGUAAACGAUCCUUAAAUUAUAGUUGGUCCCCAACCAGAAGUAUGCUGCAGAUAUACCUGUUCCUCCCUCGUGUUUAUGAAAACGAGAUGUGAAGACUUGUCCUCACAGAAAAGUUUUGCAUCCUCAAAAAUUUCUUUCUCAACCGAAAAAUA
Phacochoerus africanus (Common warthog) is the source of this 669-nucleotide long non-coding RNA. RefSeq lists it as uncharacterized. NCBI's taxonomy places the organism in Eukaryota, Metazoa, Chordata, Mammalia, Artiodactyla, Suidae. The transcript has 3 exons. The record is from RefSeq and is a predicted model, not a curated record.